AACGCACAUUGCGCUCUCUGGCAUUCCGGAGAGCAUGCCUGUUUCAGAGUCGUGGAGUCGGUUUGCUCCUGCUUCGAUAAAAGCUGUGCACACUCCUGCUGGCUUUUCAUUGAGCGGGGAUGUGGAUGGGUUUUCUGCUUUUGCUGCGGGUGUUUUUCAUACCCUUUGGCGGAGGCAGAAUCAUCUAAAAGCCAGCGUGCCUUGCCGACCUUUGGGGUGGGCGGUCGACUUUAGUUCCAAGUGCAGCAAAUGCAUUUUUCAUUUGGGACUUUUUGUCGGCACUGAGGCUGCCGUAAAUCAUGUUUGUCAGCUCGAUCUGAAAUCAGGCAAGAAAACCCGCUGAACUUAA
This 349-nucleotide unclassified non-coding RNA is filed under the name uncultured fungus. RNAcentral describes it as "partial contains 5.8S ribosomal RNA, internal transcribed spacer 2, and large subunit ribosomal RNA". The record is from RNAcentral. Lineage: Eukaryota; Fungi.